RNAcentral lists this ribosomal RNA (491 nucleotides) under uncultured bacterium. RNAcentral describes it as "partial 16S ribosomal RNA". It matches the Rfam family "Bacterial small subunit ribosomal RNA", at positions 29 to 506 of the family's 1533-position model. The record is from RNAcentral.
AGUGAACGCUGGCGGUAGGCCUAACACAUGCAAGUCGAACGGCAGCACAGUAAGAGCUUGCUCUUACGGGUGGCGAGUGGCGGACGGGUGAGGAAUACAUCGGAAUCUACUUUUUCGUGGGGGAUAACGUAGGGAAACUUACGCUAAUACCGCAUACGACCUACGGGUGAAGGCAGGGGAUCUUCGGACCUUGCGCGAUUGAAUGAGCCGAUGUCGGAUUAGCUAGUUGGCGGGGUAAAGGCCCACCAAGGCGACGAUCCGUAGCUGGUCUGAGAGGAUGAUCAGCCAAACUGGAACUGAGAACCGGCCCAGACCCCUACGGGAGGCCGCAGGGGGGAAUAUUGGACAAGGGGCGAAAGCCUGAUCCAGCCAUACCGGGUGGGUGAAGAAGGCCUUCGGGUUGUAAAGCCCUUUUGUUGGGAAAAAAAAGCAGCAGGUUAAUACCCCGCUGUUCUGACGGUACCCAAAGAAUAAGCACCGGCUAACUUCGU